GAGGGGAUAGCUCAGUGGUAAAGUGUGUGCUUAACACACACAAGGUCCUGGGUUCAAUUCCCAGUACCUCCA
Molecule: transfer RNA, 72 nt
Organism: Camelus ferus (Wild Bactrian camel)
Lineage: Eukaryota; Metazoa; Chordata; Mammalia; Artiodactyla; Camelidae
Rfam family: tRNA
About the family: Transfer RNA (tRNA) molecules are approximately 80 nucleotides in length. Their secondary structure includes four short double-helical elements and three loops (D, anti-codon, and T loops).
Source: Rfam